AUCUUAUCAAGAGAAGCAGAGGGAAAUGGCCCGUUGAAGCUUCAGCAACCUCUAACAUUGUUAGAAAGGUGCUAAUUCCAGCAAGACGUAUGUCUUGAGAGAUAAGAG
RNAcentral lists this non-coding RNA (108 nucleotides) under Ureibacillus manganicus. RNAcentral describes it as "Lysinibacillus manganicus SAM-I sequence". It matches the Rfam family "SAM riboswitch aptamer (S box leader)". Rfam says of the family: The SAM riboswitch is found upstream of a number of genes which code for proteins involved in methionine or cysteine biosynthesis in Gram-positive bacteria. Lineage: Bacteria; Bacillati; Bacillota; Bacilli; Caryophanales; Caryophanaceae. The record is from RNAcentral. RNAcentral also lists the same sequence under 1 other name.